ACCAGGUUGGCCGAGUGGUUAAGGCGCCAGACUUAAGAUCUGGUCCCCGCUAAUGGGGUCGUGGGUUCAAGCCCCACACCUGGUA
Molecule: non-coding RNA, 85 nt
Organism: Daphnia carinata
Lineage: Eukaryota; Metazoa; Arthropoda; Branchiopoda; Diplostraca; Daphniidae
Source: the annotation of a RefSeq genome assembly